This 238-nucleotide ribosomal RNA is filed under the name uncultured Latescibacterota bacterium. Its description in RNAcentral is "uncultured Latescibacteria bacterium partial 16S ribosomal RNA". It matches the Rfam family "Bacterial small subunit ribosomal RNA", at positions 1146 to 1382 of the family's 1533-position model. Lineage: Bacteria; Pseudomonadati; Candidatus Latescibacterota. The record is from RNAcentral.
AGACUGCCGGUGACUAAACCGGAGGAAGGCGGGGAUGACGUCAAGUCCUCAUGGCCCUUACAUCCCGGGCUACACACGUGCUACAAUGGCAGGUACAGAGGGCUGCGAAGCCGCGAGGUGGAGCGAAUCCCAGAAAACCUGUCUCAGUCCGGAUUGAAGUCUGCAACUCGACUUCAUGAAGGCGGAAUCGCUAGUAACCGCGAAUCAGCAGGUCGCGGUGAAUACGUUCCCGGGCCUU